UAAAACUUUUAUCACUUAUAUGUUGCAUUAGGUGAUAGGAGUUGAGUGAUGAAACAAUUGAUGCAAUGCCAUUCCUUGGAAUUUGAUUACUAUUCCUUGAUUCCUGUUUAUAAAAGAGAACUAAAGAUGCUUAGCCCUGCUUAGAUAAUUAAAAGUUGUUUCUUUUAAAAAGAUGAUGUGUUACACGGGAUAUGGGAAAUUGUUGUGAAAAAGAAAUUGGGAUGGUGAAUCCAUAUGGCCAUGAUGGAUUCAACAUCCAGAAAAAGUACCUCUGUCAGGUACCAAGGAUUGGGAAAUGGUUUAACUAAAAUGAGACCAGACGUUGAGCAGGAAAGGUCGCCCGUCUGUGUCGAUUAAGGACCGUUCCGAUUGUUGGCCUGCUGAUCUAGGACCCUUUAACUGGCCACAUGCCUCAUCAUGGGUAAGCUUAGCCUCGGUCGGACCAAUACCAGAACAGCUCGCACGCACUGGGAGUGGAGAGAUGGCGAGAGUAGCUUGUACCCUCCGUGGCAAGAGACUGGAAGGUGGGGUGCUGUACUCUCGGAAACAUGGCGGGCACCAUGGCGAGAGUAACGUGUACCAACCAGGCCAACGGCUGGAAGGUGGGGUGCUGUACUCUCGGAAACAUGGCGGGCACCAUGGCGAGAGUAACGUGUACCAACCAGGCCAACGGCUGGAAGGUGGGGUGCUGUACUCUCGGAAACAUGGCGGGCACCAUGGCGAGAGUAACGUGUACCAACCAGGCCAAUGGCUGGACGGUGGAGUACUGUGCUCUCGGGUCGCGUGAACCUGUUUUGGUCUUGAGAAACCCGUGGGCGAGUUGACAUAUGCAAGGGUUAAGUGCUACAUAUGUCGUGUGGUUGGAGAUCCCCAGCUGGGUAUUAAUCGAUUCGGAUCGCCGUUACUUCUCGGAUAUGAAGACUGGAUCACUGCCCUGCAUCGUAGAUAACAAGUGAAACUAAAGUUGAUAAAAGGAAGCUAGUGUAGGACAAGUGAAUGCUCUAGAUUAGGCAAAUCUAGAUUCAGGAAAAGUACUUAACUUGUGAAGUAAAAUUUUGGCAUAAGGAUCCACUACUAGUAUGCUUUUCUGCAAAAACGAGUCUUUGAAAUUUGAUGAGCCUUACCUUGAUUCCCAAUAAACCAGCAUACCCUUGAGAGUCUUUCCUUUAGUCGGGUAAGUCUUGCUGAGUAAUUGCGUACUCAGGGUUUUAUUCCCUGUUGUUUUUCAG
Molecule: long non-coding RNA, 1229 nt
Filed under: Zea mays
Lineage: Eukaryota; Viridiplantae; Streptophyta; Magnoliopsida; Poales; Poaceae
Description: long non-coding RNA (ZMAY_LNC005572)
Source: RNAcentral